AUGCCGAGGGAACUGCAUUCAAACAAGUCGGCGUGGCCGGAACUGGUGGGGGUGCCUGCCGGUGAAGCCAUUAGAGUUAUCGAGACGGAGCGGCCGGACGUGUUUGCCUUUAUAUGGGCCGAGGGUGAACUGGAGCCGCCAAAUAUCGAAUAUAACCGCGUCCUCGUCUGGUGCUACGCUGGCGACCCGCCAAUCGUCUCCCGGACUCCGGUCAUCGGAUAG
This 222-nucleotide ribosomal RNA is filed under the name Triticum aestivum (bread wheat). RNAcentral's name for it is "partial small subunit ribosomal RNA". Lineage: Eukaryota; Viridiplantae; Streptophyta; Magnoliopsida; Poales; Poaceae. The record is from RNAcentral.